This 1402-nucleotide ribosomal RNA is filed under the name Lacticaseibacillus paracasei subsp. paracasei. RNAcentral describes it as "Lactobacillus paracasei subsp. paracasei 16S ribosomal RNA". It matches the Rfam family "Bacterial small subunit ribosomal RNA". Lineage: Bacteria; Bacillati; Bacillota; Bacilli; Lactobacillales; Lactobacillaceae. The record is from RNAcentral.
ACGAGUGGCGGACGGGUGAGUAACACGUGGGUAACCUGCCCUUAAGUGGGGGAUAACAUUUGGAAACAGAUGCUAAUACCGCAUAGAUCCAAGAACCGCAUGGUUCUUGGCUGAAAGAUGGCGUAAGCUAUCGCUUUUGGAUGGACCCGCGGCGUAUUAGCUAGUUGGUGAGGUAAUGGCUCACCAAGGCGAUGAUACGUAGCCGAACUGAGAGGUUGAUCGGCCACAUUGGGACUGAGACACGGCCCAAACUCCUACGGGAGGCAGCAGUAGGGAAUCUUCCACAAUGGACGCAAGUCUGAUGGAGCAACGCCGCGUGAGUGAAGAAGGCUUUCGGGUCGUAAAACUCUGUUGUUGGAGAAGAAUGGUCGGCAGAGUAACUGUUGUCGGCGUGACGGUAUCCAACCAGAAAGCCACGGCUAACUACGUGCCAGCAGCCGCGGUAAUACGUAGGUGGCAAGCGUUAUCCGGAUUUAUUGGGCGUAAAGCGAGCGCAGGCGGUUUUUUAAGUCUGAUGUGAAAGCCCUCGGCUUAACCGAGGAAGCGCAUCGGAAACUGGGAAACUUGAGUGCAGAAGAGGACCAGUGGAACUCCAUGUGUAGCGGUGAAAUGCGUAGAUAUAUGGAAGAACACCAGUGGCGAAGGCGGCUGUCUGGUCUGUAACUGACGCUGAGGCUCGAAAGCAUGGGUAGCGAACAGGAUUAGAUACCCUGGUAGUCCAUGCCGUAAACGAUGAAUGCUAGGUGUUGGAGGGUUUCCGCCCUUCAGUGCCGCCGCAGCUAACGCAUUAAGCAUUCCGCCUGGGGAGUACGACCGCAAGGUUGAAACUCAAAGGAAUUGACGGGGGCCCGCACAAGCGGUGGAGCAUGUGGUUUAAUUCGAAGCAACGCGAAGAACCUUACCAGGUCUUGACAUCUUUUGAUCACCUGAGAGAUCAGGUUUCCCCUUCGGGGGCAAAAUGACAGGUGGUGCAUGGUUGUCGUCAGCUCGUGUCGUGAGAUGUUGGGUUAAGUCCCGCAACGAGCGCAACCCUUAUGACUAGUUGCCAGCAUUUAGUUGGGCACUCUAGUAAGACUGCCGGUGACAAACCGGAGGAAGGUGGGGAUGACGUCAAAUCAUCAUGCCCCUUAUGACCUGGGCUACACACGUGCUACAAUGGAUGGUACAACGAGUUGCGAGACCGCGAGGUCAAGCUAAUCUCUUAAAGCCAUUCUCAGUUCGGACUGUAGGCUGCAACUCGCCUACACGAAGUCGGAAUCGCUAGUAAUCGCGGAUCAGCACGCCGCGGUGAAUACGUUCCCGGGCCUUGUACACACCGCCCGUCACACCAUGAGAGUUUGUAACACCCGAAGCCGGUGGCGUAACCCUUUUAGGGAGCGAGCCGUCUAAGGUGGGACAAAUG